RNAcentral lists this transfer RNA (83 nucleotides) under Candidatus Pinguicoccus supinus. It matches the Rfam family "tRNA". From Rfam's summary of the family: Transfer RNA (tRNA) molecules are approximately 80 nucleotides in length. Their secondary structure includes four short double-helical elements and three loops (D, anti-codon, and T loops). The record is from Rfam by way of RNAcentral. Lineage: Bacteria; Pseudomonadati; Verrucomicrobiota.
GGAGAAGUGUCAGAGAGGUUUAAUGAGUCUAAUUCGAAAUUAGAAAUGUUUCAACAUCGAGGGUUCGAAUCCCUCCUUCUCCU